UGCAGUCGAGCGAGAAAGGCCUUCCGGCUGAGUACAGCGGCGGACGGGUGAGUAACGCGUAGGAAUCUACCUGGUAGUGGGGGACAACAUGGGGAAACUCAUGCUAAUACCGCAUACGCCCUACGGGGGAAAGCGGGGGACCUUCGGGCCUCGUGCUAUCAGAUGAGCCUGCGUAGGAUUAGCUUGUUGGUGAGGUAAAGGCUCACCAAGGCGACGAUCCUUAGCUGGUCUGAGAGGAUGAUCAGCCACACUGGGACUGAGACACGGCCCAGACUCCUACGGGAGGCAGCAGUGGGGAAUAUUGCGCAAUGGGCGAAAGCCUGACGCAGCCAUGCCGCGUGUGUGAAGAAGGCCUUCGGGUUGUAAAGCACUUUCAAUUGGGAAGAAAGGUUGUUGCCUAAUACGUAACAGCUGUGACGUUACCUUUAGAAGAAGCACCGGCUAACUCCGUGCCAGCAGCCGCGGUAAUACGGAGGGUGCGAGCGUUAAUCGGAAUUACUGGGCGUAAAGCGCGCGUAGGCGGUUUGUUAAGUCGGAUGUGAAAGCCCCGGGCUCAACCUGGGAAUUGCAUACGAUACUGGCCGACUAGAGUACGAGAGAGGGAGGUAGAAUUCCACGUGUAGCGGUGAAACGCGUAGAUAUGUGGAGGAAUACCGGUGGCGAA
RNAcentral lists this ribosomal RNA (664 nucleotides) under uncultured Alteromonadaceae bacterium. RNAcentral's name for it is "bacterial SSU rRNA". It matches the Rfam family "Bacterial small subunit ribosomal RNA", at positions 56 to 719 of the family's 1533-position model. The record is from RNAcentral. Lineage: Bacteria; Pseudomonadati; Pseudomonadota; Gammaproteobacteria; Alteromonadales; Alteromonadaceae.